UCUACAUUCAUCUCUCAAUAUGCACUCAUUGAGUCUGGUUUUCUUUGUAAUUUUCUUGGGACGGAUGGCGGCGAGUCAAGACACAAGAUCCAUAGAGCUUCACAAUUCGCCUGGUCAAGUAUCAUUCAUUGCAUUGGGAAACCAAGCCAGGAUAUGGGAGGGACAUGUUAAAAGUGCUCCUCGCAGAACUACACCGAAACCCAAAAUCAUCGAAACCGAUGAACAAAACAAGGAUGGAGUAAAAGUGCAGAGUGCAGAUUUCUGAGCUGAUAAAGUAAAGUUGAUAUAGUUCAGCAAAUAAAUCUGUUCCCAUAACCACAAGGUCUGGAAGUGGUGACCGCAUAUUGUUAACAAUUAUACAAUGAAUUAUCUACCAUUGAUAACAAAGGCAGAAAACAAGGCAGAUAACACAUAUUCCGCGAUCCGACGUGAAGGACCAAAGCCGACGGUGUCGCCUUGCUGAAAGCUUUCUGGAGGUAGCCAAGAUCAGAGGAGCAUUUUUAGAGGAGUGUAGAAAGGAGUGGGCUCACGGGGCACCAAGAUUUAUACACCAAUUUGCCAAGUUGUAUUGUAAAACUAAUAAAUUGUCGCCGCUAACUUGAAUAAUGUGU
RNAcentral lists this small RNA (611 nucleotides) under Drosophila yakuba. RNAcentral describes it as "GE27485". The record is from RNAcentral. Lineage: Eukaryota; Metazoa; Arthropoda; Insecta; Diptera; Drosophilidae.